Molecule: ribosomal RNA, 253 nt
Filed under: uncultured bacterium
Lineage: Bacteria
Description: partial 16S ribosomal RNA
Rfam family: Bacterial small subunit ribosomal RNA
Source: RNAcentral
UACGUAGGGGGCAAGCGUUAUCCGGAUUUACUGGGUGUAAAGGGGGCGCAGACGGCGAUGCAAGCCAGGAGUGAAAGCCCGGGGCCCAACCCCGGGACUGCUCUUGGAACUGCGUGGCUGGAGUGCAGGAGGGGCAGGCGGAAUUCCUGGUGUAGCGGUGAAAUGCGUAGAUAUCAGGAGGAACACCGGUGGCGAAGGCGGCCUACUGGACUGCAACUGACGUUGAGGCCCGAAAGCGUGGGGAGCAAACAGG